UAGGGAAUCUUCCACAAUGGACGAAAGUCUGAUGGAGCAACGCCGCGUGAGUGAAGAAGGUUUUCGGAUCGUAAAGCUCUGUUGUUGGUGAAGAAGGAUAGAGGCAGUAACUGGUCUUUAUUUGACGGUAAUCAACCAGAAAGUCACGGCUAACUACGUGCCAGCAGCCGCGGUAAUNCGUGGUGGCAAGCGUUGUCCGGAUUUAUUGGGCGUAAAGCGAGCGCAGGCGGAAUGAUAAGUCUGAUGUGAAAGCCCACGGCUCAACCGUGGAACUGCAUCGGAAACUGUCAUUCUUGAGUGCAGAAGAGGAGAGUGGAACUCCAUGUGUAGCGGUGGAAUGCGUAGAUAUAUGGAAGAACACCAGUGGCGAAGGCGGCUCUCUGGUCUGCAACUGACGCUGAGGCUGAAGCAUGGGUAGCGAACAGGAUUAGAUACCCUGGUAGUCCAUGCCGUAAACGAUGAGCGCUAGGUGUUGGGGACUUUCCGGUCCUCAGUGCCGCAGCAAACGCAUUAAGCGCUCCGCCUGGGGAGUACGACCGCAAGGUUGAAAC
Molecule: ribosomal RNA, 551 nt
Filed under: uncultured bacterium
Lineage: Bacteria
Description: partial 16S ribosomal RNA
Rfam family: Bacterial small subunit ribosomal RNA
Source: RNAcentral